Small nucleolar RNA from Arvicanthis niloticus (Nile rat), 129 nucleotides. RefSeq annotates it as small nucleolar RNA SNORA17. The record is from RefSeq and is a predicted model, not a curated record. NCBI's taxonomy places the organism in Eukaryota, Metazoa, Chordata, Mammalia, Rodentia, Muridae.
AUUGUCCCUGUCUAAAAGAAGAUGUGGCUGCUAUGUCACAUGUGUGUCAGUAGGUGGCAGAAAAGAGAGAGGCUGUGUCUACGCUCAGUGCUGACCUGUGGACCACUUAAUGAUUAGUAGUAUGAGUAU